GCUCUGUUUAGUUCAGUUGGUAGAGCAUGAGACUCUUAAAUCUCAGGGUUGUGGGUUUGAGCCCCACAUUGGGCA
Molecule: non-coding RNA, 75 nt
Organism: Podarcis lilfordi (Lilford's wall lizard)
Lineage: Eukaryota; Metazoa; Chordata; Lepidosauria; Squamata; Lacertidae
Source: the annotation of a GenBank genome assembly